Molecule: ribosomal RNA, 301 nt
Filed under: uncultured bacterium
Lineage: Bacteria
Description: partial 16S ribosomal RNA
Rfam family: Bacterial small subunit ribosomal RNA
Source: RNAcentral
CAGUAGCCGCGGUAACACGAAGGGGGCUAGCGUUGUUCGGAAUUACUGGGCGUAAAGGGCGCGUAGGCGGCCAUUCAAGUUAGAUGUGAAAGCCCUGGGCUCAACCUAGGAAUUGCAUUUGAUACUGUUUGGCUUGAGUUCGGGAGAGGUGAGUGGAAUUCCCAGUGUAGAGGUGAAAUUCGUAGAUAUUGGGAAGAACACCAGUGGCGAAGGCGGCUCACUGGACCGACACUGACGCUGAGGCGCGAAAGCUAGGGGAGCAAACAGGAUUAGAUACCCCCGUAGUCCCUGUCUCUUAUAC